This is a non-coding RNA of Pelobates cultripes (western spadefoot toad), 218 nucleotides long. NCBI's taxonomy places the organism in Eukaryota, Metazoa, Chordata, Amphibia, Anura, Pelobatidae. The record is from the annotation of a GenBank genome assembly.
AUUUUGAGCAAUCGUGUGAUUGGCUGAAUUCUAGAACUUCUAGCCAAAACAUACACAUUUCAUGGACUUCCAAAAACACACUAUGCAGAACAUGUUUGGUUUUUUUUGUUCAUGAUUCUGAAUCCCACCCGUGGCGUAUAAAAAGAGAUUGAUGGAGAAAAAGAUGACUGAUGGCUAGAGAUGGUCAAAACUGAGAUCAAGUGAGAAGUGGGCAAUAG